This 207-nucleotide ribosomal RNA is filed under the name uncultured bacterium. RNAcentral describes it as "partial 16S ribosomal RNA". It matches the Rfam family "Bacterial small subunit ribosomal RNA", at positions 568 to 774 of the family's 1533-position model. The record is from RNAcentral.
CGCGCAGGCGGCCUGGUAAGUCAGAUGUGAAAGCCCACGGCUCAACCGUGGAAGUGCAUUUGAAACUGCUAGGCUUGAGUAUCAGAGGGGAAGGUGGAAUUCCCGGUGUAGAGGUGAAAUUCGUAGAUAUCGGGAGGAAUACCGGUGGCGAAGGCGACUUUCUGGCUGAAUACUGACGCUGAGGCGCGAAAGCGUGGGGAGCAAACA